Molecule: ribosomal RNA, 468 nt
Filed under: uncultured bacterium
Lineage: Bacteria
Description: partial 16S ribosomal RNA
Rfam family: Bacterial small subunit ribosomal RNA
Source: RNAcentral
GACGAACGCUGGCGGCGUGCUUAACACAUGCAAGUCGAACGGAAAGGCCCUGCUUUUGUGGGGUGCUCGAGUGGCGAACGGGUGAGUAACACGUGAGUAACCUGCCCUUGACUUUGGGAUAACUUCAGGAAACUGGGGCUAAUACCGGAUAGGAGCUCCUGCUGCAUGGUGGGGGUUGGAAAGUUUCGGCGGUUGGGGAUGGACUCGCGGCUUAUCAGCUUGUUGGUGGGGUAGUGGCUUACCAAGGCUUUGACGGGUAGCCGGCCUGAGAGGGUGACCGGCCACAUUGGGACUGAGAUACGGCCCAGACGCCUACGGGAGGCAACAGUGGGGAAUAUUGCACAAUGGGCGGGAGCCUGAUGCAGCAACGCCGCGUGCGGGAUGACGGCCUUCGGGUUGUAAACCGCUUUCGCCUGUGACGAAGCGUGAGUGACGGUAAUGGGUAAAGAAGCACCGGCUAACUACGUG